GACGAACGCUGGCGGCGUGCUUAACACAUGCAAGUCGAACGGAAAGGCCCUGCUUUUGUGGGGUGCUCGAGUGGCGAACGGGUGAGUAUCACGUGAGUAACCUGCCCUUGUCUUUGGGAUAUCUUCAGGAAACUGGGGCUAAUACCGGAUAGAAGCUCCUGCUGCAUGUUGGGGGUUGGAAAGUUUCGGCGGUUGGGGAUGGACUCGCGGCUUAUCCGCUUGUUUGUGUGGUAGUGGCUUACCAAGCCUAUGACGGGUAGCCGGCCUGAGAGGGUUACCGGCGACAUGAGGACUGAGAGAGGGCCCAGACGCCUACGGGAGGCAGCAGUGGGGAAUAUUGCACAGUGGGCGGACGCCUGAUGCAGCAACGCCGCGUGCGGGAUGACGUCCUUCGGGUUGUAAACCGCUUUCGCAGGUGACGAAGCGUGAGUGACGGUAAUGGGUAAAGAAGCACCGGCUAACUACGUG
Molecule: ribosomal RNA, 468 nt
Filed under: uncultured bacterium
Lineage: Bacteria
Description: partial 16S ribosomal RNA
Rfam family: Bacterial small subunit ribosomal RNA
Source: RNAcentral